GAUGAACGCUGACGGCGUGCCUAAUACAUGCAAGUCGAGCGAACGGACGAGAAGCUUGCUUCUCUGAUGUUAGCGGCGGACGGGUGAGUAACACGUGGAUAACCUACCUAUAAGACUGGGAUAACUUCGGGAAACCGGAGCUAAUACCGGAUAAUAUUUUGAACCGCAUGGUUCAAAAGUGAAAGACGGUCUUGCUGUCACUUAUAGAUGGAUCCGCGCUGCAUUAGCUAGUUGGUAAGGUAACGGCUUACCAAGGCAACGAUGCAUAGCCGACCUGAGAGGGUGAUCGGCCACACUGGAACUGAGACACGGUCCAGACUCCUACGGGAGGCAGCAGUAGGGAAUCUUCCGCAAUGGGCGAAAGCCUGACGGAGCAACGCCGCGUGAGUGAUGAAGGUCUUCGGAUCGUAAAACUCUGUUAUUAGGGAAGAACAUAUGUGUAAGUAACUGUGCACAUCUUGACGGUACCUAAUCAGAAAGCCACGGCUAACUACGUGCCAGCAGCCGCGGUAAUACGUAGGUGGCAAGCGUUAUCCGGAAUUAUUGGGCGUAAAGCGCGCGUAGGCGGUUUUUUAAGUCUGAUGUGAAAGCCCACGGCUCAACCGUGGAGGGUCAUUGGAAACUGGAAAACUUGAGUGCAGAAGAGGAAAGUGGAAUUCCAUGUGUAGCGGUGAAAUGCGCAGAGAUAUGGAGGAACACCAGUGGCGAAGGCGACUUUCUGGUCUGUAACUGACGCUGAUGUGCGAAAGCGUGGGGAUCAAACAGGAUUAGAUACCCUGGUAGUCCACGCCGUAAACGAUGAGUGCUAAGUGUUAGGGGGUUUCCGCCCCUUAGUGCUGCAGCUAACGCAUUAAGCACUCCGCCUGGGGAGUACGACCGCAAGGUUGAAACUCAAAGGAAUUGACGGGGACCCGCACAAGCGGUGGAGCAUGUGGUUUAAUUCGAAGCAACGCGAAGAACCUUACCAAAUCUUGACAUCCUUUGACAACUCUAGAGAUAGAGCCUUCCCCUUCGGGGGACAAAGUGACAGGUGGUGCAUGGUUGUCGUCAGCUCGUGUCGUGAGAUGUUGGGUUAAGUCCCGCAACGAGCGCAACCCUUAAGCUUAGUUGCCAUCAUUAAGUUGGGCACUCUAAGUUGACUGCCGGUGACAAACCGGAGGAAGGUGGGGAUGACGUCAAAUCAUCAUGCCCCUUAUGAUUUGGGCUACACACGUGCUACAAUGGACAAUACAAAGGGCAGCGAAACCGCGAGGUCAAGCAAAUCCCAUAAAGUUGUUCUCAGUUCGGAUUGUAGUCUGCAACUCGACUACAUGAAGCUGGAAUCGCUAGUAAUCGUAGAUCAGCAUGCUACGGUGAAUACGUUCCCGGGUCU
Molecule: ribosomal RNA, 1372 nt
Filed under: uncultured bacterium
Lineage: Bacteria
Description: bacterial SSU rRNA
Rfam family: Bacterial small subunit ribosomal RNA
Source: RNAcentral